Molecule: ribosomal RNA, 450 nt
Filed under: uncultured bacterium
Lineage: Bacteria
Description: SSU rRNA
Rfam family: Bacterial small subunit ribosomal RNA
Source: RNAcentral
AGAGCGAACGCUGGCGGCAGGCUUAACACAUGCAAGUCGAGCGGGCGUAGCAAUACGUCAGCGGCAGACGGGUGAGUAACGCGUGGGAACGUACCUUUUGGUUCGGAACAACACAGGGAAACUUGUGCUAAUACCGGAUAAGCCCUUACGGGGAAAGAUUUAUCGCCGAAAGAUCGGCCCGCGUCUGAUUAGCUAGUUGGUGAGGUAACGGCUCACCAAGGCGACGAUCAGUAGCUGGUCUGAGAGGAUGAUCAGCCACAUUGGGACUGAGACACGGCCCAAACUCCUACGGGAGGCAGCAGUGGGGAAUAUUGGACAAUGGGCGCAAGCCUGAUCCAGCCAUGCCGCGUGAGUGAUGAAGGCCCUAGGGUUGUAAAGCUCUUUUGGUGCGGGAAGAUAAGUGACGGUACCGCAAGAAUAAGCCCCGGCUAACUUCGUGCCAGCAGCCGC